Molecule: ribosomal RNA, 507 nt
Filed under: uncultured bacterium
Lineage: Bacteria
Description: bacterial SSU rRNA
Rfam family: Bacterial small subunit ribosomal RNA
Source: RNAcentral
GAUGAACGCUAGCGGCAGGCUUAAUACAUGCAAGUCGAACGGGAAUUGGGUAGCAAUACCUGAUGAUAGUGGCGCACGGGUGCGUAACGCGUAUGCAACCUACCUUUAACAGGGGGAUAGCCCGGAGAAAUUCGGAUUAAUACCCCAUAGUAUUAUGGAGAGGCAUCUUUUCAUGAUUAAAGUUCCGGCGGUUAAAGAUGGGCAUGCGUGCCAUUAGCUAGUUGGUGAGGUAACGGCUCACCAAGGCGACGAUGGUUAGGGGUCCUGGAGAGGGUUAUCCCCCACACUGGUACUGAGACACGGACCAGACUCCUACGGGAGGCAGCAGUAAGGAAUAUUGGUCAAUGGGCGGAAGCCUGAACCAGCCAUGCCGCGUGCAGGAAGACGGCCUUAUGGGUUGUAAACUGCUUUUGUCAGGGAAUAAACCCUCGUUUGCGAACGAGGCUGAAGGUACCUGAAGAAUAAGCAUCGGCUAACUCGUGCCAGCAGCCGCGGUAAAACGUGCGU